Molecule: ribosomal RNA, 253 nt
Filed under: uncultured bacterium
Lineage: Bacteria
Description: partial 16S ribosomal RNA
Rfam family: Bacterial small subunit ribosomal RNA
Source: RNAcentral
UACGACGGGGGCUAGCGUUACUCGGCUUGACUGGGCGUACAGGGCGCGUAGGCGGAUGGUACAGUCAGACGUGAAAUUCCUGGGCUCAACCUGGGGGCUGCGUUUGAUACGUGCUGUCUGGAGUUCGGAAGAGGGUCGUGGAAUUCCCAGUGUAGAGGUGAAAUUCGUAGAUAUUGGGAAGAACACCGGUGGCGAAGGCGGCGACCUGGUCCGAUACUGACGCUGAGGCGCGAAAGCGUGGGGAGCAAACAGG